GUAAUGCGUGACCAACCUGCCCCAUGCUCCAGAAUAGCUCUUGGAAACGGGUGGUAAUGCUGGAUGCUCCAACUUGACGCAUGUCUUGUUGGGAAAGUGUUUAGUGGCAUGGGAUGGGGUCGCGUCCUAUCAGCUUGUAGGCGGGGUAAUGGCCCACCUAGGCUUCGACGGGUAGCCGGCCUGAGAGGGCGGACGGCCACAUUGGGACUGAGAUACGGCCCAGACUCCUACGGGAGGCAGCAGGC
This 245-nucleotide ribosomal RNA is filed under the name uncultured Gardnerella sp. Its description in RNAcentral is "partial 16S ribosomal RNA". It matches the Rfam family "Bacterial small subunit ribosomal RNA", at positions 110 to 354 of the family's 1533-position model. The record is from RNAcentral. Lineage: Bacteria; Bacillati; Actinomycetota; Actinomycetes; Bifidobacteriales; Bifidobacteriaceae.